CAGUUACUGAAAUAACUGUUCCUCUACUCAGAGGGCAGAUAGACUAUGAUGACUGGCACUCACCUCAUUUGUGAUUCACAUCUCGAGAGAUUAGGAUUCACAACAUAUUAAUGACUCCUAUAAUAU
Molecule: small nucleolar RNA, 126 nt
Filed under: Sorex araneus (European shrew)
Lineage: Eukaryota; Metazoa; Chordata; Mammalia; Eulipotyphla; Soricidae
Description: U8 small nucleolar RNA (ENSSARG00000019472.1)
Rfam family: U8 small nucleolar RNA
About the family: U8 is a member of the C/D class of snoRNA which contain the C (UGAUGA) and D (CUGA) box motifs. U8 is the RNA component of a small complex (the U8 snoRNP) which is required for accumulation of mature large subunit ribosomal RNAs, 5.8S and 28S rRNAs. U8 RNA has been identified in human, mouse, rat and Xenopus.
Source: RNAcentral